CCGAGUCUACACAUCAGACACCUGUCGACAGCCCAGAUGAUUCAACUCUCAGUGAAAGUGCCAAUCAGGUCUUUCCGGUUCAUCACUCGCAAGCUCUGCCUUCCAGAAAACACUAGGAGCACAAUGCAGCCAAGUUCUUUGUCACUUUAUGACAAGCAUCACCUUUCCUCCAGUUUCCAAUAACAUGUUCUUCAUUGCCAUCUGAGACUUCAUCUGGAUGACUUUUCCCUUCCAUAUUUUUAUUUUUUUAAGAGAUUGAGUCUCCCUAUGUUGGCCAGGUUGGUCUUGAAGUCUCAUCCUCAAGCAAUCCUGCCAUUUCAGCCUCCCAAAGUGCUAGGAUUCCAGGCAUGAGACACCAGGCCUGACCCCCUCCAUAUGCUACCGACAUUCUGUCCGGCUCUCCUCUUCUGAGCCCUCACCAGAGUCGCCCUUAACCAAGAGUCACAGGGAGAAGACGGCCACCCACAUGCCAAGAGACAGGCCUGGAACAGAGCCUUCCUGCACAGCCUCAGAGGGACGCACCCUGCUGACAUCUUGAUGGUGGACUCAUGGCCUCCAGGACUGUGAGACAGUAACAUUCUGUUGUUGAGGGUGCCCAGUCAGUGGAGAGGCGGAAUGAAAUAAUAAUAGAAAUAUAUGUGAAAUAAUAAUAGAAAUAAAGCAUACAAUAAAUGUAAUGGGCUUGAAUCAUCUCCGCAUCAUCCCUUCCCCGUCUCCCGGGCCCAUGGAAGAGUUGUCUUCAAGAAACCUGGUCUCUGGUGCCAAAAAGUUUGGGGACGGCUGGUGUAAAUGUUUCUAAAAAUAGUUAAACAACGUAAGGUUUACCUGCUACAAAUAAUGCAGAUUUAAAUGCUAAUAAAAAUGGGUGCAAAUGAAA
Non-coding RNA from Macaca mulatta (Rhesus monkey), 877 nucleotides. NCBI's taxonomy places the organism in Eukaryota, Metazoa, Chordata, Mammalia, Primates, Cercopithecidae. The record is from RefSeq and is a predicted model, not a curated record.